Pongo abelii (Sumatran orangutan) is the source of this 45-nucleotide non-coding RNA. NCBI's taxonomy places the organism in Eukaryota, Metazoa, Chordata, Mammalia, Primates, Hominidae. The record is from Rfam.
UAAAGGGCUGUGUUAACAGCCACAUACUUUAAGUAAAAGUAAAUA